Molecule: transfer RNA, 78 nt
Filed under: Bacillota bacterium
Lineage: Bacteria; Bacillati; Bacillota
Also listed under: 3 other names
Description: tRNA-Pro
Rfam family: tRNA
About the family: Transfer RNA (tRNA) molecules are approximately 80 nucleotides in length.
Source: RNAcentral
CGGGCUGUAGCGCAGUUUGGCUAGCGCGCUUGCUUGGGGUGCAAGAGGUCGCAGGUUCAAGUCCUGUCAGCCCGACCA